UUGGAUUGAGGGUCACGAGCUUGCUCGGACCCGUACCACAAUCAAUAACCUCUUGUGAACCUGUCGGCCCUCGGGCCUUCAAACUCCAAACUUUGUGUGUUGUAUGAACGUCAUGUCUAAAAACAUAACA
RNAcentral lists this unclassified non-coding RNA (130 nucleotides) under uncultured Basidiomycota. RNAcentral's name for it is "sequence contains ITS1". The record is from RNAcentral. Lineage: Eukaryota; Fungi; Basidiomycota.